This 72-nucleotide transfer RNA is filed under the name Tenacibaculum sp. MAR_2010_89. It matches the Rfam family "tRNA". Rfam says of the family: Transfer RNA (tRNA) molecules are approximately 80 nucleotides in length. Their secondary structure includes four short double-helical elements and three loops (D, anti-codon, and T loops). The record is from Rfam by way of RNAcentral. Lineage: Bacteria; Pseudomonadati; Bacteroidota; Flavobacteriia; Flavobacteriales; Flavobacteriaceae. RNAcentral also lists the same sequence under 11 other names.
UGGCCUAUGGUGUAAUUGGCAACACACCGGUUUUUGGUACCGACAUUCAAGGUUCGAGUCCUUGUAGGCCAA